GGGCAGGCUGAGAUAGCUCAGUUGGUAAAGCAUUAGGCUCUUAACCUCAGGAUUGUAGGUUUGAGCCCCACAUUGCUCA
Molecule: non-coding RNA, 79 nt
Organism: Podarcis lilfordi (Lilford's wall lizard)
Lineage: Eukaryota; Metazoa; Chordata; Lepidosauria; Squamata; Lacertidae
Source: the annotation of a GenBank genome assembly